UAAAAGUGAACAGGAUGCUGAACUAGAUGAACCAUUGGCCUGAUUCAGCAGGCUCUUCUUAGGUUCUGGUAUUCCCACAGCACAAGAAACGUGCCACAAGUGAGCAUGCCAUGCCUCAUCUUCAAAAGCAUGCCAGGAGGGGAAACCUGUGAGAGCCUCUCUGCUCCUUCUGUCCAGUUCUGAGCUCCUCGCUUUGCUCCUGAGUCGUGACUCCUGAGCAUGGCACCUGCUGUCGAUGCUCUACGGUUACUUGCGCAAAUAAAGAUCCCUUUUCUGCUUCCAAGAAUCAGAGUCUAGCUGUGCAUGUGCUAGGUAGGAGCCCGGACAUGAGAGCUCAGAGGCAAGAUAUGAAGAAGCAUUUAAAAUCUUGUUAUUGUGCUGCAAGCUUAAGGAUCUUACUCGGUUUGCCUUGGUGGCUGUCGAAAGGUGCGGUCCUGAGAACAAAUCCCAGGCAGCUGUUUAAGAACCUCCAGGCGUGUGAGGACCGUGUUCCGAUUUAGAGAGAUGUCAAAGGACAGCCUUCCAAGGAGUUAGGCCAGAUUAAACAUGAGUAGCAAACAGCAUCAGAAUCCAUCCUGUGGUCUGCGGCAAUGCCAGUAAUCGUGUCUGACACAGCGAGCGCCCAUCCUUUCAGAAACUGACAUACUGCUUCUGCCACAGAUCCCCAAGUACACACUGUCUCUUCUUCCUACUUAUUAGCACAUGUUUCUCAAGAGCUACUCCAACAAAAUUCCAGGUGCUCUGUCUCAUUCAUGUCUGUUUUUCCUUCUAGACCAAACCCAGUGUUCCAGCCAUACAUUCUGCAGGAGGUGCUGAGUGAUGGACGAAUCUAUUUCCAGCCAGCACAAAGACCGUAGAGGAGAUUUAUACAUUAUAUCAGCUUCUUCAUUGGAUAAUGAUGAUGAUGAAUCUCAGUGCUUUUUCUGGGUGUAUUCAAGGGACAUGUUUACGAAGAUCAGGAAUCUUCGCCUUAUUGCCCAGGGUUGCCUUGCAGAACAAACAGGCAAGAAAUGAGCUUUUGAAAACUGCGGGAGCCAGUUCUGCAAAACACAUUUCAACUUAUCACUGCUGGAGCUGGCUGCUCUUUUCUAUGCUACACUUUUAAGUUGAGUUUUAUGCCAUCAUCACAUGCCAUUCAAAACUGUUAUGAACAGCUGAAAUCAGUUAGGCAAGAAGAGUGCAGUAAAAGCCUGGUAUUCUGUCAAGGAUUUCCAAACUGCAUGUCAUAAUCAAGGAUACAGAUUUACAUUGCAAGGUUUAUGUCCAAAGGCAACCUCUUUUCUGAGCCCUGAUUUUGCAUGGUGGAAGAUGGUCAUGGUGACCUAAUCAGCCAAAGUCCAGACAGAUGCGCUUGAAAUUCCCCAAACCCUUUCCCACACUAAUCAAAGGCUGCCCCCCCCCAAUAUAAUUGUUGGCUAUAUCUACAAUACUGAUCCCAUAGCACCAGUGUGAUAUCAUACAUGCCCUUCAUAUAAUACAGCAGGAGUGAGGAACCUGUGGCUGCUGAGAUCAUAGAAUUAUAGAGUUCAAAGAGACCCCAAGGUUCAUCUAG
Molecule: non-coding RNA, 1552 nt
Organism: Podarcis muralis (Common wall lizard)
Lineage: Eukaryota; Metazoa; Chordata; Lepidosauria; Squamata; Lacertidae
Source: RefSeq, a predicted model, not a curated record